Molecule: ribosomal RNA, 449 nt
Filed under: uncultured bacterium
Lineage: Bacteria
Description: partial 16S ribosomal RNA
Rfam family: Bacterial small subunit ribosomal RNA
Source: RNAcentral
AACGAACGCUGGCGGCAUGCCUAACACAUGCAAGUCGGACGAAGUCUUCGGACUUAGUGGCGCACGGGUGCGUAACGCGUGGGAAUCUGCCCUUAGGUACGGAAUAACUCAGGGAAACUUGUGCUAAUACCGUAUGAUGUCUUCGGACCAAAGAUUUAUCGCCUAGGGAUGAGCCCGCGUUGGAUUAGCUAGUUGGUGAGGUAAAGGCUCACCAAGGCGACGAUCCAUAGCUGGUCUGAGAGGAUGAUCAGCCACACUGGGACUGAGACACGGCCCAGACUCCUACGGGAGGCAGCAGUGGGGAAUAUUGGACAAUGGGCGCAAGCCUGAUCCAGCAAUGCCGCGUGAGUGAUGAAGGCCUUAGGGUUGUAAAGCUCUUUUACCCGGGAAGAUAAUGACUGUACCGGGAGAAUAAGCCCCGGCUAACUCCGUGCCAGCAGCCGCUGUAA